CUUGCAACCAUAAGAGGUCCAGCCUGCCCAGUGAUCUAAUUCAACGGCCGCGGUAUCCUAACCGUGCAAAGGUAGCGUAAUCACUUGUUUUCUAAAUAAAGACUAGUAUGAAAGGCAUCACGAGGACUUAACUGUCUCCUUUCUCCAAUCAGUGAACCUAAUCUUCCCGUGAAAAAGCGGGAAUCCACCUAUAAGACGAGAAGACCCUGUGGAGCUUUAAACAUAAUAACACCUGCCACCAUCUCUAACAACCCCGGUACCUCCUUCAAGCGGCACCCUGAUUAUAUGUUUUUGGUUGGGGCGACCGCGGAGAAAAACCCAUCCUCCGCAAUGAACGGGACUUCUUCCUUAAACAAUAAGUCACAACUUUACGUAUUAAAAAAUUAACAUUCCUUGACCCAAUAAAUUGAUUAAUGAAC
RNAcentral lists this ribosomal RNA (419 nucleotides) under Pristimantis inguinalis group sp. ABGD cluster 146. Its description in RNAcentral is "partial large subunit ribosomal RNA". It matches the Rfam family "Bacterial large subunit ribosomal RNA", at positions 1836 to 2457 of the family's 2925-position model. Lineage: Eukaryota; Metazoa; Chordata; Amphibia; Anura; Strabomantidae. The record is from RNAcentral.